GACGAACGCUGGCGGCGUGCCUAAUACAUGCAAGUAGAACGCUGAAGAGAGGAGCUUGCUCUUCUGGAUGAGUUGCGAACGGGUGAGUAACGCGUAGGUAACCUGCCUUGUAGCGGGGGAUAACUAUUGGAAACGAUAGCUAAUACCGCAUAACAAUGGAUGACACAUGUCAUUUAUUUGAAAGGGGCAAUUGCUCCACUACAAGAUGGACCUGCGUUGUAUUAGCUAGUAGGUGAGGUAACGGCUCACCUAGGCGACGAUACAUAGCCGACCUGAGAGGGUGAUCGGCCACACUGGGACUGAGACACGGCCCAGACUCCUACGGGAGGCAGCAGUAGGGAAUCUUCGGCAAUGGGGGCAACCCUGACCGAGCAACGCCGCGUGAGUGAAGAAGGUUUUCGGAUCGUAAAGCUCUGUUGUAAGCCAAGAACGAGUGUGAGAGUGGAAAGUUCACACUGUGACGGUAGCUUACCAGAAAGGGACGGCUAACUACGUGCCAGCAGCCGCGGUAAUACGUAGGUCCCGAGCGUUGUCCGGAUUUAUUGGGCGUAAAGCGAGCGCAGGCGGUUUGAUAAGUCUGAAGUUAAAGGCUGUGGCUCAACCAUAGUUCGCUUUGGAAACUGUCAAACUUGAGUGCAGAAGGGGAGAGUGGAAUUCCAUGUGUAGCGGUGAAAUGCGUAGAUAUAUGGAGGAACACCGGUGGCGAAAGCGGCUCUCUGGUCUGUAACUGACGCUGAGGCUCGAAAGCGUGGGGAGCGAACAGG
Molecule: ribosomal RNA, 764 nt
Filed under: uncultured Streptococcus sp.
Lineage: Bacteria; Bacillati; Bacillota; Bacilli; Lactobacillales; Streptococcaceae
Description: bacterial SSU rRNA
Rfam family: Bacterial small subunit ribosomal RNA
Source: RNAcentral